AAUUAGUUAUUUUUGUGUUUGGAUGGAUGGAUCAUUGCCUACGUACCCUCUCAUGAAAGAUAAGGAUCAAAACCUCGUAGUUCGGGUAACAAAUUUCAAAACAGUGAAUGGAUUGGUUUUAAACAAAAGCCUUAAGGUCUUUCAUUAUCAAAGGGAGAAAACUCGACCUGAACAACCACAAGUCCACCAUGUGAGAACAGCUUCGACAUGCUAGUGAGGGAUUAUGCCCU
RNAcentral lists this long non-coding RNA (230 nucleotides) under Lathyrus oleraceus (garden pea). RNAcentral's name for it is "Pisum sativum (pea) long non-coding RNA (PSAT_LNC038118)". The record is from RNAcentral. Lineage: Eukaryota; Viridiplantae; Streptophyta; Magnoliopsida; Fabales; Fabaceae.